GCCCGGGUGGCGAAACUGGCAGACGCAUGGGACUUAAAAUCCCUAGGGGAGCAAUCCCCGUGCGGGUUCGACUCCCGCCCCGGGCA
Molecule: transfer RNA, 86 nt
Filed under: Gemmatimonadota bacterium
Lineage: Bacteria; Pseudomonadati; Gemmatimonadota
Description: tRNA-Leu
Rfam family: tRNA
About the family: Transfer RNA (tRNA) molecules are approximately 80 nucleotides in length.
Source: RNAcentral